UCCAUGGAGAUCCAGUAGUUAGGACUCAGCUCUUUAACUGCAGGGACCCAGGUUCAAUCCCUGGUCAGGGAA
RNAcentral lists this transfer RNA (72 nucleotides) under Bos taurus (domestic cattle). It matches the Rfam family "tRNA". Rfam says of the family: Transfer RNA (tRNA) molecules are approximately 80 nucleotides in length. Their secondary structure includes four short double-helical elements and three loops (D, anti-codon, and T loops). The record is from Rfam by way of RNAcentral. RNAcentral also lists the same sequence under 5 other names. Lineage: Eukaryota; Metazoa; Chordata; Mammalia; Artiodactyla; Bovidae.